GUGUCAUGUGGCCAUCUUGAGUCUACUCUGUCGCUCUUGUGCCCUAGCACCCCGAGAACCGUCAGUUUGAGCCAGAUGGUGAGUAAUAACCUGUAGCAGUUUGGUUGCUGGUUAAUUCUGGAUUGUGAAUCUCCAUGUAUCUUUGGGACCUGUCAGCCGUGGCAGUCUCCCUUCCUAGCCAUGGAAGAGCAUAUCCUUGUUUAUUGGCAAAGCUGUCACCAUUUAAUUGGUAUCAGAUUCUGACUUGCACAAGUAACAUUCACUGUUAAAAACCUAGAGGGUGCCGGGUUAUUGGGCAAAAUUUCUAAACCGUUGUUCAAUGUUUCUAGGAAGCUGAGCUGAACACAUUACGAUGGAUGAUGGAAACAUAAGACUAUCAAGAAAUCCAAGUGGUAAUGGGCGAAGUUUAUUCAGCAUCCGGCAAUGGACUUAUCGUAGUUGGGGAAACGGGUGUUCCGAAUAAUAUCCUGGAAGUUAUCAGGACACCUAUUUUAAAUAUAGGCCUGAAUUUUGUAAAGUAAUAUUUAAGGUGGUCCGUGAUAAUUAAAUAAAAUGCUUAAUUCAUGUGGC
Molecule: long non-coding RNA, 570 nt
Organism: Homo sapiens (human)
Lineage: Eukaryota; Metazoa; Chordata; Mammalia; Primates; Hominidae
Gene: SNHG8
Product: small nucleolar RNA host gene 8
Source: Ensembl